Molecule: long non-coding RNA, 5913 nt
Filed under: Marmota monax (woodchuck)
Lineage: Eukaryota; Metazoa; Chordata; Mammalia; Rodentia; Sciuridae
Source: RNAcentral
CAGGAGAGUCAGGUAUAUCAUUAAAUUACAGUAUAAGGCAUAGCUGCAAUCAAAAUGGUUUCCUAAAGUAUACACAGAACACAAUGAUAAUAUUGGGGUGCGUACGUGUGUGUGUGUGUGUUGGGGGUUGUCAGAAAAGGCAAAAUGUGUGCUUAGAAGGACAAAACCAAGUUUCUCCAAGAUUCCUCAAAAGAUUAAACAUGGAACCACCAUAUUAUCCAGCUAUACCACUCCUUGAUAUUUAUCCUAAAGAAUUAAAGUCAUUAUACCAUAGCCAUAUAUACAUACACAUGUUUACAGCAGCACCAUUCACAAUAACUAAACUAUGGAACCAGCCUCAGUAUCCAUCAACAGAUAAAUGGAUAAAGAAAAUUAUAUAUAUAUAUAUAUAUAUAUAUAUAUAUAUAUAUAUAUACACACACACACACACACACAUACAUAUACAUACAUACAUACACACACACACAAAAUGGAAUUUUAUUCAGUCAAAAAGAAAAGUGAAACUAUGUCAUUUGCAGAAAAAGGGAUAGAACUUAUGCUAAGCAAAAUAAGCAAACUCAGAAGGUUAAGAGUUGCAUGUUUUCCCACAUAUGUGGAAGCCAGAGAGGAAGAGGAAAAAGAAAGGCUUGUGUGUGUGGCGAGGGGUAGGGAGGUUAUCAUGGAAAUCAAAGGGAGAUCAGUAGAAUAGAGGAAAGGGACCGGAGGAAGUAAGAGGGGAGGAAAAGAGGAAAUACUGGGGAAUAAUAUUGGCCAAAUCCUAUUGUUAUAUUGUGGUAUGUGUAUGUGUAUGAAUAUGUAACAACAAAUCCCACCAUUAUACACACUAUAAUGUACCAAUGAAAAAAUAUGGGGUGGGGGUAAAAACAGUUUCUCCAUGAACAAGAAAGGGACAAAUUUCUAGGCAGAGGAAAUAGUACAUAUCCAGACAAGGAUGCAUGAGAUGAGUAUUUAGUUGAACACACAGGCACUGGCAUUGUUCCACACCAUGGGCAAUUACUGAUGACAAGAUUUUAGAUAAGUGUACACCAAGGGACAGAAGCACUAGUCAUAGUGAAAAUGGUGAAAUGACCCUUGUGUUCAGUAAUGGAUGAAUGAAUAACUACACAAUGUGACAUACACAUGUGAUGAAGGUUACUUAAGCUUUAAGAGGAAUGAAAUUCUGAUACAUAUAUAGAAAGUUGAAAGCAUUAUGCUAAAGGAAAUAAACUAGAUGUGAAAGGACAUAUAAUGUAUGAUUCUAUCUGCAUGAAAGGCUUAGAAAUAGGAAAAUUCAUAGAGACAGAAAAUAGAACAGUGGUUACCAAUGCAGGGUAUGAGGGAUAAUAGGGAUUUAUUAAUAAGUAUAGAGUUCUUGUGUGGGUUGAUUAAAAAAAGUUCUGGAAAUGGAUAAUGGUCAUGGCUGCAUAGCAACGUGAAUGCACUUAAUGCCACUGAACUAUGCAAUUAAAAUAAUUGAAAUAGUAAAUUUUAUGUUAUGCAUAUUUUACCACAGUUUAAAAAUUUUCUGUUUUUAUAAGGCUUAUAUUCUGGUAGAGGAGUCAGACAAUGAAUAAACAGAGAAUUGAUUGGAUCAUCAUAGAUUAUGACAAAUGCAUCAGAGGAAAGAAACAGAGGGAUAAGAUAGAGGGCCUGGGGGGUAUUAUUUUGGGAUCCUCAAUAUGUUGAACUGCCUAGAAUGGUGAGUAGCCCCAGAGAAUCAGGAUUAAGAAAAGAAUGGUGGGAGAUGAGACUAGAAAAUAGGUGUGGCAGGAACUACAUUAUGGAGAAUCUUGUGUGUUAUACUAAGAUGUUUUCGCUUUAUCCCGAGAGUCAGUGAAGGUUUUUAGGAAAGGCAGUACUUAGCUUUGGCCACAAUGCACAGGAAGCAUUGGUGGGUGAAGCCACAUGCAGAACACCAGUGUAGGAGGCUAUUUCUGCUGCUCUGUUCAGUGAGGAAGAAGUCCUUGUCUUGGGUGGUGGCAGAGAAGGAGGGUAAUGGAGACCUCCUCCAGAUGGAGAAAUCAGCAAGCCCUGGGCAUGUGGAAAGUGGAGGGCAGGACGUAGUCCAGACUUCUGGCUUGGGAGACUGGGGGUUGGUGGCACAUCAGCCAAGCCAGGGAUCAUAGCUGGAGGAAAAGUUGGUCAAUUUAACAUUGAACAUAUUGUUUUGAAGAACCUGUUGAAUCCAUUAAUUGAUGGCUCCGGCAUGUGACAGUGAUCGGAAUCAGGAAUACAGACCAUGAAAUUCUAAGCAUUGAGGGAGGGUUAAAAAUUGUGGCAGUAGCUGAGAAUUUCUCAGAAGUCAGUGUAGAGUGGGAAGAGGAGAGGACUAGUAUCAGCACAACAGGGAAUGCCUCGUAUAACACAACGAACACAAAAGGGAAGCAGAAAAUUAUGAUAGCAAGAGAGGCUGAUCAUUUAUCAGGAGAGAAAAAUAACACUAGCAAUUGUCUUUGCUAAUACAGACUCCAUGGAGUCUUGGAGUGGAGACCCAAGUGCACUGGGAAGAGGCGUGAAUGGGAAGAAGAAAGGACCAAUACACGCAAAACUAUUCUUUGAAGAAACUUGACUGAGAAGAAAAGGAAAGAGACAAGGAAAUCUGUAGAGAUGCAGGAGGAAAGAAGCUUUUUGUUUGCUUUUUAAAGAAUGGGACAGUCUAUUUAAAAAAAUGUAUAUUGGAAUAAUUUUACAUUUGGAGAAAAGUUGCAAAAAUCAUACAUAGCUCCUUUAAGCCCUUUACCUAGUUUCAUCUAAUUGCAAGUAAUUUCCUCAUUGCAUGUAACCAUUGUGCAAUGAUCAAAACCAGGAGAAUGACAUCAAAACAAUAAUAUUAACUAAUUUACACACCAUCUACAUUCUUCUGUUUCAGUAUCCAGUAUAGGGUCUGACGCUGCCCUCAGCUGUCAGGUCUCCUUAUUCUCCUCCUCAGUCUUGCAUGACUUUGGUGCUUUUAAAGAGGGCUGGCCAGGUAUUCUAUGGAACAUCUCCCAUUGGGUUUGUCCUGUGUUUUCUCAUGAUUCAGUGAAGCAGUUUUUUUGUAACAACGCCACAGAAGUGAAGUUGAGUCCUUCUUGGCUCAUCAUAUCAGGUGGUACAUGAUGCCAUAGUCUCAUUUUUGGGGGGGUAAGGCGGGUGGGGGGUACCAGGGAUUGAACUCAGGGACACUCCACCACUGAGUCCUAUCCCCAGCCCUAUCUUGUAUCUUUCUUUAGAGACAGGGUCUCACUGAGUUGCUUAGGGCCUUGCUAAAUUGCUGAUGCUGGCUUUGAACUCAUGAUUCUCCUCUCUGAGCCUCCUGAGCCACUGGGAUUACACGCAAGUGGCACUGCGCCCGGUGCCAUAGUCUUAUUCAUUGUGAUGUAAACUAUGCUCACUUGGUUAAAGGGGUGUCUACCAGCUUUCCUUGUUUUUUUUUUUUUUUCUUUUGUGCACAAUUACUGUGGUGUUUGCCUAGUGAUUUUCUGUUUUUAUCAUUCUACCUGUGUUUAUUAAUUGGAAUUCUGCUGUAUGGGAAAGUUUCCCCUUUUCCCCAUUUACUUACUUUUUUUUUUCCUUUGGCGGUGCUGGGGGUUGAACCCAGGGCCUUGUGCAUGCAAGGCAAACACUCUACCAACUGAGCGAAUCCCCAGCCCCCUAUUUACUUAUUUAUUCAAUUAUUUGUUUCUAUCAGUAUGAAUCUGUGAGCAUCAGUGCAGCUGACUUUGUUGCUCCACUUGUCCCAGGUCUGGCUCUUGGGAGCUCCUUGGGGCUGGCUUUUAUGCCUGGGUGACAUGCUCCUCUCACUUUGUAGUGUUUGCAUGCCAGCUGCAUCAUGAGGUUUCUUGAUCCUUUUGUAUUUCCUUGUUUCAUAUCUGGGAGCAACUAUUUUUCUAAGCAGUCCUUUCAUUGGAGUUUUGAACUUGACCUGUGUGCUGAAGAGCAGAACCCCAAAGAGAUGGAGAAUGAAAGCUGCAAUUGAGAGAAAAGGGUUAAUAAAUAGAGAGUUGCUUAUGAAAGAAGGCAAUGCAAGGGCAGAUGUGGGUAAAUUUAUAGUUGGGGAAAGUUCAGGCAUUUUCCAUUUGGUGUGUUUGUUUCCUAUCAUUAAAACAAAUACCCAAGAUAAUCAACUUAUAAAGAGGAAAAGUUGAUUUUGGCUCCGUUUGGAGGUUCCAGACUGUGAUCUGGUGAGCCCGUUGCUUUUAGGCCUCUGGUAGAGGAGAACCCAUCAGGGCGAAAAUGCAUGGUGGAGCCAAGCCAUUCCCUUCAUGGCCAAGAAGCAAAAGGAAGGAGGAAGAAGAAAGGGCUGGAGUUCCACUAUCCCCUUCAAGGGCAUGUCCCCAGUGAUCUGAAGACCUCUUGUCUCCAAUGGCACCAACUGUGGGAUCAAGCCUUUACCACAUGGACCUCUGGGGGACAUUCUAAUUCCAAACUAUAGCAUUUGGUGAUGUUUCCUUCCUCAGUAAGGGGGAAAGGGGAUUAUCUGUUGGAAUCAAAGGUGGGAGCAGAGCAGGUGGAGCAAGGGGAGGCCGAGUGGGAGCAGAAGGGUACGGGGCUUGGGCAUAGGGAAGGAAGGUGGCAGGUGCUGUGCAGGCCAGGAAUCUGCAGGGUGUGUGACAGGAGGAACUUGGGAGUGUGGCUGGAAAAAGACUGGAUGCUGGGUCCUGGCUGUGGGUCCUGGGUCCUGGCUGGGGAGGAAGGGGAGACUUGAAGACAGUCCUGUGGGAAGAAUACAGGAUGUGGAUAGGGAGGUGGAGAUUUAAAGGAAAGAUCCCAUUCUCAGUAAACUGGCAGACUAGGUGCUUAGGAAUGCAGAAGUCACCUGGGAUAGGGGCAGGAGCAGGGGUAAAGAGUGGUACCAGGUGGUGGUGUCCAGGUCUUUCUUAUAUGUUGGUCCACAGUCCUCUACCCUUGAAGAUGAGUCAAGUCAAUCCUUAGCUGAAGGCAAAGCUCCUCCCCAUACUCUGGGGUCAGAUCCAGUGUAUAGUAAGAGGGCCUAUAAGGCUUAAAUGUUCUCAGCCCCAGCUUUGGGGGUUCUUACUGCUGGUGUGGCUCUCACCUGGACUCUCUACCUGUCUGACUCAGGUAGGCCCCUCCCUCUGUGGGCAUGAGCUUGGCAUCCUACCAGUAAUGGUCACUGGGACAAUGCUCUUGAGUUGAUCUCCUAGUCUCAGACCCACCUUCAGGAAGCAUGCUAUCUUCUACCUUCUACUGUGUGCCCCCAGGCCAGUGAAACUUCCAAUCUUGGUACCCAUUUCUGUCCACUGUAGCCACUGGGCAAGUGCCACCUUCCCCAUAAGGCUGAAAGGACCAGGGCAGGCUGGUCUGGUCUGUCCCCCAUCUACAGCUCAGAGGUUCAAGGCACAUUGGUGGGUGAAUGCAUACAGGCCUGAUGACGUGCCUAUUUAUUUUGGUGUCUGUGUGUGUAAAUAGGAUAUAGGGUAUAUAUUUUUGGAAUUCUGAGGAACAGGCGGUAGAACUAUGCCUGGAAAAAGUUACCCUCAUCGUUGCUUUUACUUUCUCUCCUGCUUGGGACGCGGCAAAACUAGCAAUGUGCUAGUCCCUGUGUCACCCCACAGGACAUGGAGCAUUAAGCCGUAGGGCUGCCCUGUGGAGGCAGCUCUAUGGAAGAAACGAGGAUGACCCCGUUGCAUCUUUUCUCCUGGCUCAGCAGUUCUGGAAGAGGCCUCGGGGACUGGUCCUGUGUGUCCAGUGCCAUGCUGGGAGGUUUGGGGUAUGCCUGCUCUGCAAAACCUGUAGUGGGGCCUCUGGCUCCCUUUUGUCACUGUUGGAAGACCUUCCUGCUUCCUUCCAGACAACUCAUCCCAGCUGGGUCAUAAAUAAAAGAACAAUAUAGCCACAUAUUUAUAGUCUCUGUGAAUCACUGGUGACUAAUUUUUCCCAUUUUGUCACCCCAAAUAGUUUUCUCUUUAGCCUCCUGGUGAGGGCACAGCACCA